This 321-nucleotide small nuclear RNA is filed under the name Nannospalax galili (Upper Galilee mountains blind mole rat). RNAcentral's name for it is "7SK RNA (ENSNGAG00000006029.1)". It matches the Rfam family "7SK RNA". Rfam says of the family: 7SK was discovered as an abundant small nuclear RNA in the mid-70s but a possible function has only recently been suggested. Two independent studies have found that 7SK RNA binds the CDK9/cyclin T complex (known as elongation factor P-TEFb). The record is from Rfam by way of RNAcentral. Lineage: Eukaryota; Metazoa; Chordata; Mammalia; Rodentia; Spalacidae.
GGAUGUGAGGACAAUCUGGCUGAGACAUUGACACCCCAUUAAUCGACGGGAUUGACUUAGCUAACUGGCUCACUAAGUGGAUAUCGCCUUCUCUUUCCUCCUUCACCCCUCCAUGUGCAUUCUCCCUCCCCCAAAGCUUUGAGCUCAAAGUGGGCCCCUUUUCCCAAUAGAAGAAGACCAGGUCUCCAGUCAAAGGUAGACAAGUAGCUGUAUGAUCUAGACAUCUCCAGCCCCAUGCAAACUUAAGCAGACAAAACCCCAGCUUAGAACUGGGGAAAUACACAGCAAGCCCUAAUCUUAGCCAAAGAACUAUUGGCAGCU